This 404-nucleotide ribosomal RNA is filed under the name uncultured bacterium. RNAcentral describes it as "bacterial SSU rRNA". It matches the Rfam family "Bacterial small subunit ribosomal RNA", at positions 11 to 414 of the family's 1533-position model. The record is from RNAcentral.
GUUUGAUCCUGGCUCAGAUUGAACGCUGGCGGCAUGCUUUACACAUGCAAGUCGAACGGCAGCACGGGUGCUUGCACCUGGUGGCGAGUGGCGGACGGGUGAGUAAUACAUCGGAACGUAUCCUAAAGUGGGGGAUAACGCAUCGAAAGAUGUGCUAAUACCGCAUACACUCUGAGGAGGAAAGUAGGGGAUCGAAAGACCUUAUGCUUUUGGAGCGGCCGAUGUCUGAUUAGCUAGUUGGUAAGGUAAUGGCUUACCAAGGCAACGAUCAGUAGUUGGUCUGAGAGGACGACCAGCCACACUGGGACUGAGACACGGCCCAGACUCCUACGGGAGGCAGCAGUGGGGGAAUUUUGGACAAUGGGCGCAAGCCUGAUCCAGCAAUGCCGCGUGAGUGAAGAAGG